CGAAAGGCUUACGCCAUUGUGCGUGCCUGUGUGUGUACUCGGACGUCUGCUGCUUCACACGUGUGGGUCUUGUGCCUAUGGACCAGGAUACUUCGCCACGUGGUGCAACGGGAAGCUAGAAUGUCAGCUGCCGACUGACGGCAAUACAGCCGAACCCCUACCGCCACCUUACGGGAUUCGUCUCUUCGACGGUUAUGCAAGUGUGACCCCUGAACACCUAGCACACAACGACUUUUCUCUCCAGACCGUACACCCGGUAUCUGCUCGCUACCCACACCACGUCACUGCGGGCCGUGGCCACGUCCUCUGUGUCCU
Molecule: long non-coding RNA, 315 nt
Organism: Pomacea canaliculata
Lineage: Eukaryota; Metazoa; Mollusca; Gastropoda; Architaenioglossa; Ampullariidae
Exons: 3
Source: RefSeq, a predicted model, not a curated record